UACGAGGGGUGCAAGCGUUGCUCGGAAUUAUUGGGCGUAAAGGGUAGGUAGGUGGUCUCAUUUGUCUGGGGUGAAAGCCUUGAGCUUAACUCAAGAAGUGCCCCAGAAACGGUGAGACUGGAGUCCUGGAGAGGGUCGUGGAAUUCCCGGUGUAGCGGUGAAAUGCGUAGAGAUCGGGAGGAACACCAGCGGCGAAGGCGGCGACCUGGACAGGCACUGACACUCAACUACGAAAGCGUGGGGAGCAAACAGG
RNAcentral lists this ribosomal RNA (253 nucleotides) under uncultured bacterium. Its description in RNAcentral is "partial 16S ribosomal RNA". It matches the Rfam family "Bacterial small subunit ribosomal RNA", at positions 524 to 776 of the family's 1533-position model. The record is from RNAcentral.